UGAAUACGAGACGCUAAGGCGUCGAAGUAGUGUAUGUCAUACUUCCAAGAAAAGCUUGCACUGUCAUAAGUAAAAAAUGCCUGUACCAUAACCGACACAGGUGGGUAGGUAGAGUAUACUAAGGGGCGCGAGAUAACUCUCUCUAAGGAACUCGGCAAAAUAACUCCGUAACUUCGGGAGAAGGAGUACCUUAUUCUAUAAGGUUGCAAUAACAAGAUCCAAGCAACUGUUUAUCAAAAACACAGGUCUCCGCUAAGUCGUAAGACGAUGUAUGGGGGCUGACGCCUGCCCAGUGCCAGAAGGUUAAAGAAGUCGGUUAGCAUUAGCGAAGCUGGUAACUGAAGCCCUGGUGAACGGCGGCCGUAACUAUAACGGUCCUAAGGUAGCGAAAUUCCUUGUCGGGUAAGUUCCGACCCGCACGAAAGGCGUAAUGAUUUGGAUACUGUCUCGGAGAGGGGCUCGGUGAAAUAGACUUGUCUGUGAAGAUGCGGACUACCUGCACCAGGACAGAAAGACCCUAUGAAGCUUUACUGUAACUUGAAAUUGAAAUUGGACUUUAUUCGCGCAGUAUAGGUGGGAGGUGUUGAUUAUAAUCUUGCGGGAUUAUUGGAGCCAUCAGUGAGAUACCACUCUUGUAAUGUUAGAUUUCUAACUUUGAAUCAUUAUCUGGUCAAAGGACAGUUUCAGGCGGGCAGUUUGACUGGGGCGGUCGCCUCCCAAACGGUAACGGAGGCGUACAAAGGUUUCCUCUGAACGGGUAGAAAUCGUAUCUAGAGUGUAAAGGCAUAAGGAAGCUUGACUGUGAGACCUACAAGUCGAACAGGGACGAAAGUCGGUCUUAGUGAUCUGACGGUACUGAGUGGAAAGGCCGUCACUCAACGGAUAAAAGUUACUCUAGGAUAACAGGCUGAUCUCCCCCAAGAGUUCACAUCGACGGGGAGGUUUGGCACCUCGAUGUCGGCUCAUCGCAUCCUGGGGCGGUAGUACGUCCCAAGGGUUGGGCUGUUCGCCCAUGAAAGCGGUACGCGAGCUGGGUUCAGAACGUCGUGAGACAGUUCGGUCCAUAUCCGGUGUAGGCGUUAGAAUAUUGAGAGGAGCCUUCUUUAGUACGAGAGGACCGAGAAGGACAUACCUCUGGUGUACCAGUUAUCGUGCCAACGGUAAACGCUGGGUAGCUAUGUAUGGAGUGGAUAACCACUGAAAGCAUCUAAGUGGGAAGCCCACCUCAAGAUAAGUAUCCUCA
This 1243-nucleotide ribosomal RNA is filed under the name metagenome. Its description in RNAcentral is "bacterial LSU rRNA". It matches the Rfam family "Bacterial large subunit ribosomal RNA", at positions 1564 to 2816 of the family's 2925-position model. The record is from RNAcentral.